UCUUCCUUCCACAAACAACUCUCUCCCACUCCAUUAUUCUCCUAUGUCUUCAUCUCUUCCUUAAGCUUCUUCAUCAUUUCUUGUUGGACUUGUCGGAAAAGUGAAACCAUUGCAAUGUCGAAAGCUUCUUCAUCAUUAGUUGUGAAGUCAUCACGCACCUCUAGCCCUCAUCUCCAUCAGAUGGUUGGAGGGAUACUAAAUGGUUUGAGUUAUGAUUGAAGGGUUGUAUUAGAUAUUUUCCUGGAGUAUUUUAUGGUUGCUGGGACUACUGAUUCUAUGGGUGUCGGGACUAUUGGUUGCUGGGAGUACUGAGUAUCCAUGCUGAAAAAGAAAGAAGAAUGUUGUGAACAGUUACUUUUGGUAAAUGAUUGAUGGUUUGUUGCAUUCAUCAAGCUCUAAUGUUGUUUCUGGUAUGAGAAAUGGAAUUUUUAACAUCAUUUGACUUCA
Long non-coding RNA from Prunus dulcis (almond), 447 nucleotides. RefSeq lists it as uncharacterized. NCBI's taxonomy places the organism in Eukaryota, Viridiplantae, Streptophyta, Magnoliopsida, Rosales, Rosaceae. The transcript has 2 exons. The record is from RefSeq and is a predicted model, not a curated record.